RNAcentral lists this ribosomal RNA (633 nucleotides) under Triticum aestivum (bread wheat). Its description in RNAcentral is "partial small subunit ribosomal RNA". Lineage: Eukaryota; Viridiplantae; Streptophyta; Magnoliopsida; Poales; Poaceae. The record is from RNAcentral.
AUGAAGCAAUUUCCCCAGCUUUACAACAUUUGCACGGCUCAGGACUGCACGCUGGACAAACUGGAUACGGUGGUUCGUGCUGAUUUCUUUCGUAGAAGGCUAAAUGAUGAGUUAACUAACCAGUGGUUGUCGCUGAGAAGUUGUGUACAUAGUUUGAAUCUGUCUGGUGACAGUGGUUCUGUGUACUGGGGCUUGAACAAGUCGGGUAAGUUCACUACGAAAUCCAUGUACAAGUGGCUGGAGAGACCGCUUAGUGGAUGUACCUAUAAGUGGAUAUGGAAAGCUAAAAUUCCCCUUAAAAUCCAGAUAUUUCUCUGGCAGCUUGCUCAGGAUGCGGUGCUUACCAGGCAUGUGAUGCGGCAACGAAAGUGGCAAGGGAACCCUGGUUGUUCCUUUUGCCAACAGGUUGAAACCUCCCAGCACUUAUUCUUUGGUUGUUCUGUGGCCAAAGUGGUCUGGCGUUCGAUUGGGGUCACACUUGGGACUGAUUUAUGUCCCAAUAACUACUGGCAGUUUUUUGUUUGGUGUCACUCCUUUUUACCGGGAUAUGAAUCUUUCUAUACUGUGGCACUGGGGGCUGUGACUUGGGCCAUAUGGCUGGCUCGUAAUAAAGCUACCUUCGAGAAAAAAUGA